This 253-nucleotide ribosomal RNA is filed under the name uncultured bacterium. RNAcentral's name for it is "partial 16S ribosomal RNA". It matches the Rfam family "Bacterial small subunit ribosomal RNA", at positions 524 to 776 of the family's 1533-position model. The record is from RNAcentral.
UACGUAGGGUGCGAGCGUUGUCCGGAAUUAUUGGGCGUAAAGAGCUCGUAGGCGGUUUGUCGCGUCGGCCGUGAAAACUGGAGGCUUAACCUCCAGCUUGCGGUCGAUACGGGCAGACUUGAGUUCGGUAGGGGAGACUGGAAUUCCUGGUGUAGCGGUGAAAUGCGCAGAUAUCAGGAGGAACACCGGUGGCGAAGGCGGGUCUCUGGGCCGAUACUGACGCUGAGGAGCGAAAGCGUGGGGAGCAAACAGG